Molecule: long non-coding RNA, 1158 nt
Filed under: Nicotiana benthamiana
Lineage: Eukaryota; Viridiplantae; Streptophyta; Magnoliopsida; Solanales; Solanaceae
Description: long non-coding RNA (NBEN_LNC010382)
Source: RNAcentral
UUUUACAUGGACUAGUGCACCAGUAUCUGAUUUGUUGAACUACAAUUCCCUUUUUUUUCUUUUUUCUUUUUUGCAGCCAAAAUUUUGACAGAGAACUCCCAAAUUUUCACCAACUGACCGGAGAAUUUAACCACGACCCCUCAACAAUCAUCAAAACAAAACCCCAUUACUCAAUUAAACCAAACAACAAACAAACCAAAAAGCCCAUUAAUGUUUUCAAGCUUCGCCAAAAACCCCUCCAAUGGAAUUUUUAGCUCCUCUAACGUUUCAAGUAAUCAAGUAGUUCACAAUCAGGAUUUUUGGCAGCUCUUCAAAAUCUUAGAUCCAACCUCUUCUUUAUAGAUCGACAUCUUCAAAUGGACAAAACCUAAAAGACCAAUCGGCCUUCACUAGCGUUUUCAGACUUUCGACGGUAUUUAAAAUCACAUUUUAGAUUUAAAACUACAACAUCCAUACUAAUAUAUAGUAUAUUUCUGUAUAUAAUAUCUCAAGCAUAUCCAUCACCUUAGAAUCCAUUUGCUACAGUCACAUCCUCCUAUUAAAAAAUGCAAAUUUUCACCAUUAAAAGACCAUAAAGAUCAAAACUUAUCUUAUAUUUUUGGGGUAAAAAACAAAAGAUUUUAACAUUGUUGAAAGUAGAAAAGCGGAACAUAUAACAAAAGUUCAAUUUUGGACUUACCAUUUCUGUGAAAACAAGCUCCAAAAUCAUGAGAAGGAACACAACAAAGACAUGGUUAGAAACGAUCAUAGAGUGCGAGGACAGUGGUUUUUGGACGAGGAUAAUGGAUAUUGGUAAAGUUGGAAGGUGAAGGUAGGGGUGAGCAUCGAUCGGUUCGGUCGGUUAUUAUAAAAAUAUUAUUCGAUUUUUUUAUUUUCGGUUUUGUAAUAAUAAUAACAAAAUCAAACCAAAAUAUUUAUAGUUCGGUGCAGUUUUUUCAAAGUUCAGUUCGGUUAUUUUGGUUUAUAUUUUCGGUUUCAAAUGGUUGCAGACUUGUAGGAACAGAGAAGUAUUUACAUUGUACAGUUUGUAAUAAGUUGAAUAUUAUGUGUUUUUGUAACGACCCGACCGGUCGUUUUGAUCUUUUGCACUUUGAUCGUCAGUUUGCGGGCACAACUUGUUCCGUGUAAUUUGAAAUAAGUUCAAUAUCACGCUUGAAU